GAUGAAGAACGUAGUGAAAUGCGAUAAGUAAUGUGAAUUGCAGAAUUCAGUGAAUCAUCGAAUCUUUGAACGCACAUUGCGCCCGCCAGUAUUCUGGCGGGCAUGCCUGUUCGAGCGUCAUUUCAACCAUCAAGCCUCAGGCUUGUGUUGGAGCCCUGCGGCUGCCGCAGCCUCCCAAAACCAGUGGCGGGCUCGCUAUCACACCGAGUGCAGUAGUUUACUCUUCGCUCAGGGCGUGUGGCGGGUGCUAGCCGUGAAACCCCCAACUUCUCAAGGUUGACCUCGGAUCAGGUAGGAAUACCCGCUGAACUUAAGCAUAUCAAUAAGCGGAGGA
RNAcentral lists this unclassified non-coding RNA (334 nucleotides) under soil metagenome. RNAcentral's name for it is "partial contains 5.8S ribosomal RNA, internal transcribed spacer 2, and large subunit ribosomal RNA". The stretch from base 1 to 120 matches the Rfam family "5.8S ribosomal RNA", at positions 35 to 154 of the family's 154-position model. The record is from RNAcentral.